ACGCUGGCGGCGUGCCUAAUACAUGCAAGUCGAGCGGACUUUGAAAGCUUGCUUUUAAAGUUAGCGGCGGACGGGUGAGUAACACGUGGGCAACCUGCCUGUAAGACUGGGAUAACUUCGGGAAACCGGAGCUAAUACCGGAUAAUCCUUUUCCUCUCAUGAGGAAAAGCUGAAAGACGGCAUCUCGCUGUCACUUACAGAUGGGCCCGCGGCGCAUUAGCUAGUUGGUGAGGUAACGGCUCACCAAGGCAACGAUGCGUACCCGACCUGAAAGGGUGAUCGGCCACACUGGGACUGAAACACGGCCCAAACUCCUACGGGAGGCAGCAGUAGGGAAUCUUCCGCAAGGGACAAAAGUCUGACGGAGCAACGCCGCGUGAGUGAUGAA
This 388-nucleotide ribosomal RNA is filed under the name Bacillus sp. SK256-S7. RNAcentral's name for it is "bacterial SSU rRNA". It matches the Rfam family "Bacterial small subunit ribosomal RNA", at positions 33 to 412 of the family's 1533-position model. Lineage: Bacteria; Bacillati; Bacillota; Bacilli; Caryophanales; Bacillaceae. The record is from RNAcentral.